GUGGCCAGGCGAAGCCGGCGAGCACGGCGGCGCGACGCAGGGUUGCACGAUGCGACCAGCGACAAACAUAGCGCCGGCGGCCUUGCUCACCACGAAUCCAUUAUGCGGUUGAUUCGGGCGGAAGAGGGCUGGAGAGGCGGAUCGAUGUGCGGGGAAAAAGCUUGACCGGCAUCAAAGGUGGCCGGUGGUGGAUAGGCCGAUUUCGACUGAUUCAGCCGGGGAGGAGCUUGGCUGCGGGCUGUGAAAGGUAGAACAAGAGCUCCUUAUUAAUACAUGCCGGAAGCUGUCCGGGUCUUUCGAAAAAAAAAAAGAAAGGUAGAACAAGAGCACGGGAGGGCAGGAGAGGUGCGUGCCGAGCGAGAUGGCGAGUCCGCCUGCUCGGUAUAGCUUGCGAGCGAGAAUCGGGGGAUGCCGAGCGGGAUACUGAGCCGCGCAAGAUGGAGAGGCUAUUGGAUCCUGAUUUAUUGGGAAUUUACCUUCACUUAUUUCUGCUACUUGCCCAACAUCUGGAACUACUAGAUUGGAAACUUUUGAAUCAUGCAAGGACCAAUGAUUUUGCUUUCAGCUCAAGAGCUCUGAAUUAUAGAGCAGUCAGCAGCUACUCUAUUCUACCAUUUUUUCAGUUUCUUGCUCUGGCUUGCAAGUGCCUGCCUGGAACGGCACCCUGCAUCUGCGUGCUCCGUGACACGGUGGACCACGCCGGCGGCGAUUCCACGCAGGUGCUCGCUCUUCGUCCGACUCGAACCCACCCCGCACCAAGUCCGGCCGCUGCGCCGCCUGCGGCCACGUCGAGGGCAGUCUUCUUCAAGAUCAGGGGCGUCGCCAUUUCAACCCUUCGAUUGGUUCCGACUUCAGAAGUUCAGAGCUGAGGCCUGAGAAAUCGACAGCUGAACAUCUGAGUACCACCGCACACUACACGAGCGUAGCCAUGAUUAGGAAGCUAUGGAUGCUUGCAGACCGGAAGAAGGAAGAAGAGGUACGUAAGAGAAGCCCGCCGUGAGGCGGCGCUCCCUCCGGCGAGCGGCGGCGGACGAGUGGACGAUUAGUCUAUCAUCAGGAACUUUUGCAAACACCCCCUCGAUAUUUGCAAAAUGCCCUCUGAAAAUUUCAUAUAGGCCCCUGGUUUCCCGCUGCUCCAUCGGCGCCGCGCCCGCAGCAGCUGCCGCCGCCGUCCUCGGGUCCCCGCCGGAGAGGGCGAGCGCGCGGACAGAUGAGGCGCGGCGCGGCCGACCCGCAUCGCCGCGUCCCAUCCAUCGCGUUUCUCACGAGGGGAUCGGAGAUGGAGGAAACGAAGCGGCGACGAAGGGGGCGGCGCGAUGCAGCUGACCGGCGGCGAGGAGCCGGAGCAGUUCGAGGCCGCCGCCGCCCCCCGCCGGCCGAGGCGCGGGGCGGGGUACAUGGAGCGGUGCGCGCUGGGCGCUGCCAGCGGGUGCGGUUCGUCGGCCGCCGGCAACCUAGCCCGUCGGUCUUGGACAUGACGCCAAAAUGGAAUGACCUUGUUCAGAUGAGUCUACUGGCAAGGUGAUCAGCAACAAAUCGGCUGGGGAAGACCUACACGAAAACGUCAAUUGUGUCAGUGUUCCUCCCAGAUACAGGAACAGUCACAAAUGCUGGAUUGUCUGGUCGGAUUGAAGCCAAGCUGAUUAUUUUCUCCUUUUCCUCAUCGCUUAGCCGGUUGGCGAUCCUUGAGUAGUAGUAGUAGUUGGAGUUGGUAUGCUCUUCACCACUUUCCUCUUCGCCAAUAGCAUCAUGCUUAACACUGCUACUUUUUGGAGAUUCAAGUAUUUGCCCUGUGAAGAUAAUGUGCAGUAUCAGUAUGUCUAUCAGCUUAUGUAUAUGAAAAUGAUCAAUGGAGACACAACAUUGCUGACAAAUUAUUUCAGAUGGUGUAAACUUGUAGUCACUCUACUUACUUGGCUUCCUGCUACCAGGUUUCUUUGAAGUAGAGGCAUGAUGAGGGAAUCCAGCCAGGACCAGUACUGUUACCAAACAGAGAAGAAACCUUCUCGUAGCCGCUUGCUUCAAAGAUCAGGACAUCAGAGGAAGAGUUGCCACUGCAUGUGAAGACAAGGAGGUCAUUCUCCCGCAGUCUAUGAGCCUUGACGAAAUCCUCCCAUCUAGACACGAGGCACAGCUCAUCGACAUGCUUGUCCACGCCGAUGUUCCAUGUUUCACCGCUGGGCGCUUUCAGGGAACAGGGGUGAUUGGAUGCCGACACUUACAAUGCCCUGGGCGAAAUCUCCGGUCAUGAGCUUGAAGAAGCGGAUCUUGGUCACAUCCAGGCACAAGUAAAAUGGUUUUUGAUCUCUCAAAUGGGAGUUUGUCAAGCUUCAUGUCUUGCUGCAGCUCCAACACACUGCUAAAUCGUACGUCAUGGCUCAACUUCUUGGGGCCGCAGCCGCUGGAUCAGCGUCCGCCAAGGAUGUGGACGUUCAUGGCGAGCUUGCCGUCGUCCUCGCCGCCGCCGCCGAGCGGCUGGAACAGGCACAGGUCGCCCUGCCGCAGCGCGUUGUCGUCGACAAACUGCUUCCACCCGCGGCGGAGCUGGUGCACCUUGCCCUCGUUCCUGACUUGCAACUCAGCCUCCCAGCUGCAGCUCACGCCGGGCCGCCGCAGCCGCACCGUCUGCCGCACCCGAGGGAGGUGCUCCAUGGCGAAGUCCUUGUUGAAGCACUGCAUUUUUUUUUUUUGCCCAGGUGACACGAAUCAGAUCAUUGCUGAAGGAUUUUCAUAUACCUUUGAUUCAGGCACUGGAAGUCUGAAAGAACUGUAUUUGUGGGCUAAAGAAAUGGUACUGGACUGGACUGGACUUACCAAGCUGUCGUUUCCACGCUUCUUGGCCGUCACAAAGACGAAGGGACGGUGACGCGCCCAAUUCUGCAAGGGAAGUUUCAGCCCCAAAGCAUUGUGAACCGCCAUCAGACAUUCAGAGUUACAACUGAUACAAUGGAAUGUGCAGAGUUAGCGUUGCAUCACCUGGUGGACUGUAGCUUCCGUGGAGAGGAUGGACUGACACUGUCACUCGCCCCUCGCUCAUCGAUGCUUCGAAUGCGCAGGCAUCGCCAUCCUGCAGCUCGUUGCCGCGAGCCAAGCUCCGCCAGCCAGUGGAGAAGAUGUAGGCGCCGUCAGCGGAGAUCUUCAGAUUUGCAUCCCGUUUCCUGCUACCAGGAGGGUGACACAGCGUGAUGGUUUGGUCUUCAUGUGGGAGGUACUUGUCAGAGUAGUCCUUGCAAAUGACCUGUCCAAUGACCCGGUGGUUAAACCAAAUUAUCUGAACAAUUCAGAGUGCUGGUGUUUCAACAGUUUCGAACAGAUUUUGUAACAAAACAAUCUGAACAAUGAACAUUGAGUAACAGAAGCUGCAGGUUGAGCCAUUGGUUGUAAGAAAAACAUACCAUAUAUCCAUUACACAGAUUGGUCUUGUUCAGGUUUGUGACAUACAAUGGAA
This is a long non-coding RNA of Panicum virgatum (switchgrass), 3448 nucleotides long. RefSeq lists it as uncharacterized. The transcript is spliced from 7 exons. Lineage: Eukaryota; Viridiplantae; Streptophyta; Magnoliopsida; Poales; Poaceae. The record is from RefSeq and is a predicted model, not a curated record.